This is a long non-coding RNA of Peromyscus eremicus (cactus mouse), 753 nucleotides long. RefSeq lists it as uncharacterized. The transcript has 2 exons. The record is from RefSeq and is a predicted model, not a curated record. NCBI's taxonomy places the organism in Eukaryota, Metazoa, Chordata, Mammalia, Rodentia, Cricetidae.
UGCCUCCUUAAAUCAAGGAGGGAGAGGAAAGUGUCAUAAUAACCUUAGCAUCAGAAUGCCACCCCAAUGGCAUUCCCAAUUUAGAAUGCUAGGCCCGUUCCAGUCUGUACAGAGGAAGCAAAGAAGUUCGAAGUUGGCAAGGAGGGACCCGGAAUCACGGACUAGCUUCAAAAGCCACAGCUGAUCUAAAAGUUUGGCAUCAUUUUAAGAUUCUUUCCCAGCACUGAUUGGUUCCUCUCCUGAAAGGUGAUUAAGUUCCCAACUCAGACAACGUGCUUAGGACGGGAAGCAGGGAAGGACAGCACCAGCUCAGAGGGGCAGAGACAAUGAGCCAAUACUCAGAAGCUGAAGUUCAUUUUGGAGGGACCAAGAGAAAUAUGCCAGCCUUACAGCGUGCACUGGAAGUUAAGAGACAAGUCACUUGCACACCAAGAAGACCCUGAGAUGCUGUAACCAGAUUAACACGGAUGGAUGAGAUGCCUUGCCUUUGUAAAAGACCUUAUGUUUACAUGAUGCAACUAAUUUCAAAGAAGCAAAUGAUAGUGGUCAAACUCACCGUGAUGGCUGUGAGGUCAAGCUUGGUUGGUACUUGAUUGGAUCUGGGGUUCCACUAAGAGACAUACUUCUAAUGAGCAUGUGACAGUAUUUCCUCUGUGGUUCCUGCCUGAAUUCCUGUUUGGGUUCCUGCCCUGACGUUGCUCAACAAUGGACUGUGAUCAAGAAGUACAAGCUAAAUAAAACCUUUUCUCCCCA